Long non-coding RNA from Branchiostoma belcheri (Belcher's lancelet), 423 nucleotides. RefSeq lists it as uncharacterized. The transcript has 3 exons. The record is from RefSeq and is a predicted model, not a curated record. Lineage: Eukaryota; Metazoa; Chordata; Leptocardii; Amphioxiformes; Branchiostomatidae.
AUUCACAGUACUAGUCUGCAUCUUGGUAUCCACAACACAACUAAAGCAAAGACAGGGCAAUGCCUCUACUGCGACAAGAGCAUAUGGACAUUCUGGUCAAAGUAAAGACGGGGAACUACUUCGGAGCAGGGACUAACCAGUAUGUGUACAUCAACAUCCGUAGCAAAGAUGGAACGGAAUCUGGCGACAAAAAACUUGACAUGAGGUUUCAUGAUGAUCACGAAAGCGGGACAGAGGAAGAGUACACACUGAAGCGUGUUAAAGUGACCCCCCCAAUUGAAGAGCUGGAGUUAAAACUAGGGGGGUCCAACCUGCUCCCAAAUGCCCACCCAAUGGAAGACUGGUUCUGCAGCUCUCUUUACGUUCAGCUACAACCAGAGGAUAACGGGCCGACGUACUACUUCCCUGUGCAUCGCUGGCUUA